RNAcentral lists this long non-coding RNA (29371 nucleotides) under Arabidopsis lyrata. RNAcentral's name for it is "long non-coding RNA (ALYR_LNC001607)". Lineage: Eukaryota; Viridiplantae; Streptophyta; Magnoliopsida; Brassicales; Brassicaceae. The record is from RNAcentral.
GACAUACGGUGGUGGAGGAGAUUUGUACUCUACUUUAGGAGAUGGUGAGUAGUAUGGUGGUGGUGGAGAACUGUAGACAUAUGGUGGUGGAGGAGACUUGUAGUCUACCUUUGGAGAUGGGGAGUAGUAUGGUGGUGGUGGGGAGCUGUAGACAUAUGGUGGUGGAGGAGACUUGUACUCAACUUUAGGAGAUGGUGAAUAGUAUGUUGGUGGUGGUGGGGAAUUAUAAACAUAUGGUGGUGGAGGAGACUUGUAUUCGACCUUAGGGGAUGGAGAGUAAUAUGGCGGUGGUGGUGGUGAACUGUAAACAUAUGGUGGUGGAGGAGAUUUAUAGUCAACUUUAGGCGCUGGAGAGUAAUAUGGUGGUGGUGGAGAACUGUAAACAUCUGUUAGUGGAGGAGAUUUGUAUUCUACUUUAGGAAGUGGUACAGAAUAUGGUGGUGGUGAUGAGCUAUCCGUGUAUGGCUCAUAUGCAGCAACCAUUGUUGCCAUGAUGAUAACUCCUAUAGCGUAAACAAGAUGGGCAGAAGGCCCCAUUCUAGAAGAAGAUUUCAUCAGGUAAGUUUUUCUUGUUUUGGUUUGUAUUUGAAAGAAUGGGUGCAUGGGUUUAUAUAGUGAAGCUUUUCUCUAAAUCUAGCUAUACUUUCCCUGUUGUUUUGAACUCCAUCCAACUAAGUCGUGGAAGCAUGUCUACUCGAUACUAGUUGGAGACGACGUGCAAGAACGUGUAGCGAACGUUGACGAGCCGCUUUCCAUUUUAUAUUUAGCAAACAUCAACUUUUAUAUGUUGGGCAACGGGCUAGUUUAAACUUUUGUUUUUAUCUUUUUGGGGUCACUUCAUAUCAAUUUUUAGAUUUUUUAUAGAUCUUCAGUAUUUUAUGAUCGAUACUUUUGAAAUAAAAUGUAUAAUCUAUUCAAAUGCUUAUACUUAUAUCUUCCGUAAAGAUUGUAUUAGAGCUUUUUAUAAAUGUUUAUAAUUAAUAUAUGUUUUUAGCUUUUUUCUUUUUCUUUUUUUUUUUAUUAGAAUUAAAAUACUAUUGUCUUACAUAUACCUUUUUUGUUUGAUCAUUAGUGUUUGAAAAAAUGAAUAUUGUAAUUGUUCGGGUGAGAAUUUUGAUUCUCUCGUACAGUGAAAUUUGUUUAGCGUUGGAAAANNNNNNNNNNNNNNNNNNNNNNNNNNNNNNNNNNNNNNNNNNNNNNNNNNNNNNNNNNNNNNNNNNNNNNNNNNNNNNNNNNNNNNNNNNNNNNNNNNNNNNNNNNNNNNNNNNNNNNNNNNNNNNNNNNNNNNNNNNNNNNNNNNNNNNNNNNNNNNNNNNNNNNNNNNNNNNNNNNNNNNNNNNNNNNNNNNNNGAUCAUUUGAUGCAGCGCAUAGCAAAUCGACCCGAUAAAAUAUUCGAGAUAUAAGGGUUAAUGAGUUCACAAGCAUAAUUAAGGAAAAAAAAGAGAGGAAUUUUGUAGAAUCAUAACAUAUAUUGAUUCAUGUAGACAUGCCUUGAAAUUUGGUUUCAGGGACGAAUUACGGUAAACUGCGGUCAGGAUAGUUUAGGUAAACUGCGGUCAGGAUAGCUUAUUUAGAACUAUUUUGUAUGUCGACUUGCGAUAAUAGGUGGUUAACGUCCAAUGUUUUUAUCAAAUUAAGAUUAUUUUACAUCCCCUAGUUAUGGGAUUUUUUUUUAUAGCUACCAAUGUUCCUCGGAAUAUAGCGAUAUUAAACUAUCAAAUAUUAAUUUGAAUUUGUGAGUACAUUAGUAGCUAUGAAGUGAUCACCUAAAUGAUCUCAAAAUCCAAAAGAGCCCUCUCCACGUUGCUUUAUCCUUUGUCAAUUCAUAUUUACACUUUUUUCCUCAUCACGCCAAACAAAUCCAGCUCGUCCUAUAUUCUAAUUUGGUAAUAUUCGAGUGAUCUCUAGUCUCGUUGUGGCUUGGCACUCGACGAAACAUAAGGAUAUAUAUUAGCUAUAGUGCACUUGCGACGUAUAUAAUUUUUAAAAUUCAAUAAUAUCUAACCAUGCAUGUUUAUGAGAUUUGAGCUUCUUGCAUGAAAAUGAAGUAAAUUGUGAUGGGCGACAAAAAGUUUUGGGAUCAAAAUAUUUACGCGUUACUUAAAUUAUAUUAAAAAAUUAUAUUUGUACUAUGACAUUUGAUUAGGAAGUUAAAUUGAAUUAUAUAUUCUUGCAAAUUAUACUACAGGAAAAUUGAGUAUCUUUAGCGGCCGAAUAACGCUAUCUAACUAGACGAUCCAGUCUUUUUGCAUCGGUUAAAGCAAUCCUCGCAAUGAAGUUCAAAGAAAAAUGCUCAAAAGGUAUUGAAGAGUUGAUGAAAGAGGUUCUCACACUUGCAUUGAAAGAUCCUCCAAGGAGUCCCACUACUCCUCCUCUCAAUCCUCUCCCUAAGACUCGCGACUAGGGCUAAGGUAUGGUCCUAUCUAUCCUUUGUAUAUAGGCAUGUCAAUCGGGCUAGCCCGAAGCCCGCAAAACCCGUACAUAUUUGAGCCCGGCACGGUCCGGUCCGUAAAAAUUCCGAGCCUAUAAUUUAAAAGCCCGGCCCGGCCCUAACAGGGCUUUUUGGGCUUUUCUCCGAAAACCAAAAAACAAACUUAUAAUUGAUAAUAUCUCUUAAAAAAGAAUCUAUAUAUGAAACGAGUCAAUCAAAAUUUAUAUAACCGCUAACGCUAAUUUAGUUUUAAAAAAAAAGAGUUAAAAUCAAAUAAAUAAUCCAAAAAUAAAUUGUUUAACCUUAUACUAGAUAAAAUAUAAAACCAAAAUAAUUCAAAUUAGCUAGUAGAGCUAAUAUUUGCUUUUUCGAUUUAUAGUAAUACAUAACAAAAAAACUAUGUUUAGGGUUUUUAACUCUAUCAAAAAAAUUUUUUACAACAAAUUUUACAAUUAAACGAAAAUAUUAACAAAAAAAAAGAUCAAAAUAUUUUUUAAAGUGCUUUUCGGGCUAGCCCGAGCCCGGCCGGGCUAAGCCCAAAAAACUCUUUAGCCCGAACGGGCUUAGCCCGAAAGGCCCGAUUUUUUCUGGACAUAUAUUUUGAAGUCCGAGCUCGCUGUUUUUCAGGGCUGGGCCGGGCUAGCCCGCGGGCUUUGGCCCUAAUUGACAUGUCUAUUUGUAUAUACCAUUUUAUUUCAUUUUCUCUUUGUUUUUUUCGUUAUGUCUUUUUCUCGGAAUUAUUCUCACACCGAGACGGUGUGAAAUAAGUUUGGGGGAGAGACUAACCAUCUAAUGUUGUGUUUUGUUUUGAUUUUAUUUCUUUGAGUCUUGCAUUGUUAAUAGUUAUGUUUUGAGAAAAAUCAAAAAAAAAAAAUUGAAAAUUUUGAAAAAUCCAAAAAGAAUCAUGUAGCUUUGCAUAUUCAUUUUCUCUUUUAGGAUUGAGUCUAGAAACAUUUAGUUACAUUUGCAUAUUCAUAGGGGAUAAUGAUUUAAUUACCUUGUAGAAAUUCAAGCUUAUGAUUGAAUUUAAAGCCCUUAAUCAUAGUUAAUUGUUGCUGGAUCAUCUUGGAAAAAAAUGGAAAAUCCAUACUUAGACCUUUGCGUUUUUCGAAAGCAAUUUCUACUUGUGUGAAGCUUACAUGACUUUGAAACAUCUCUAUGAAUUUGAACUUAGUUUGAUUUCAAUCUUCUCGCUUAUGGAUUUGAAAUGCAUUCUUAUGGUUGUCUAAAAAACUCAUUCGGGUUUUCUUAUCCACUUUGCCACUCUUUUGUAAACCCGAAUGUCCAUUCUCACAUUUAGAAUGGUUUCCCCUACCGAAAACCUUCAAGCUUUUCUUUCAAGCCUAUGAUUGGUUGUGAGUGAGGUCUCUUGUUUGAAAAUGCUAUAGAUUUUGAAAUCUUGAGAGUAUUGAGAACGACAAGGUUUUAGCUCUUGUUUUAGCUAGAUUUUGGAACAUCUUUGACUAGCUACUAGGUUGAGAAUGAAAGAGUUAGGUGGUUAGAUUGAAUAUUUGGGAUUGAGUUUGAAAAAAAAAAAAGAAAAAUGAAAAGAAAGGUUUGAUCAUGCAAAUAAAGAGUUCCUAGGGAAUAAAGUUAAGAUAAAAGCUCUAAGUCUCUAAGUUAAAAGACAAAGAAAAAUGUGAAGUUAGUUCCCCAAAAGGAAAAGAAAUUUACAAGGUUAUAAGUAAUGGGAGCAAAGAAAAACAAAGUGAAGAGAUAGAAAAGAGCUAAGUAUUUAAGAAAAUUUUUCCCUAGGUACGUGACUACAAAAAAACAGUGAUCUUGAAGUUGGUGAUUUAAAAAGACCAAAGUGUCUAGUGUUUGGGGUAGAAAAGAAGAGGAAAAGAAUUUUCAAAAAGGGUACAAAUAGGAGUUUACAUCUAAGGCGGGUAGAACAACAAGAGCUUAACUUUGUAUGCAUAAAUUGUUCUUGGUCUUAGAUGGAUUUCAUGAUUGUCUAGCAUUUCUUUUCUUGAGAGAAAGCCACCAAAGUAUGAAUCUUUUGAAACCACCUCUAAAAACCUUUACCAAAAUCGAUUGAGAAUGAUUUACUUUCCAUUUGCGAGACCGCGCCAAACACUUGAAUGAAUGUUAAAGAGAUAUUUCAACUUGAUUGUGAGUCUUUACUAAUAGUUAGGAAUUGAAAUAGAAUCAUGCGUUGAAAUGAGUAUGGAAAAGUACGAAAGAGUAUGAUGAUUGAUUCAAGCAAAUUUGAACUAUCUUUAAGGACUUUGAGUUGAAUCUUUUGUUUGAUAUUUUGUGGCUAUAAAUCCCCAUUUUCAAACUUCUCUUCCAUCCUAUUUCUUAGCCCUUGCUUGAGGACUCGCAAGAGAUAAGUUUGGGAGAGUUGAUAUAUUGUGUUUUUGUUAGUUUUAUAGCUUCAUUUCUUUUACUUUCUUAUCAUUUUGCAUUCAUGUUUAGGUUCUUAGGUGCAUAUUUGCAUUGUAUUUCUUCAAUGUAGGUUCUUGGAGUGGAGUUUGGUGUUUUGGGAACAAAUGAGCAAAAAGGAAGCUAAAAGAAGGCAAAAUGAGUAAUAAGGUUCAAGGAGGGAUCAAGAGGUGAAAGGAGAUGUUAAGAUGUGGUGAAGAAAGAAGAUUGAAGAAGAGAAGAGGAAGCAAUAGACCAACUGGUCGAUUCCUGGGUCGAUUGGUACCAGACCAGAGCUACGGACGACACUUCAAUCGAUCACUUAAUCGAUCGAUUGCUCUACCCAAUAGACCAAAUGGUCGAUUAAGUGGUCGAUUGGGCGCCUAAACCAGGUCAAAACCCGGUUUGUUCCAGGUUGACCCGGUUCGUUUUUCUCUUUUCUAUAAAUACUCUUAACCUAGUUUUAGAAAAUUUUAUGCUUGUUUUGAAUUUCUCUUUUCUCCUUUGAGAUUUUGUAUGAAUCUUAAUUAUUUUGUUGCAAUCUAGUCUUGUUUAUUUUGAGAUUUUUUCUUAAUUUACUUUUGUCAUUAAGAUCAUGCAAAAAAACAACAUGGAUCUUUGUGUUUUCACUAUGAUUAGUGAGUAGUCUCUUUUGAGCCUUUGGGUUUAGUAGAUUAGGGUGGUUGUUGAUUGAUUCAAGAUGUUUAGGACAUAAUCUUUAUUGAUCCUUACUCUCUAGGUGUUCUUAGUGCUAGAUUAGUUUUGAUUAAGCUAGUCUAGAUCAUAGGAAGUUUCAUGCCCGGAAGGUAUUCGAUGAAAUUCCCGAAAGAACUUAGUGAGUGUUUAGCAUUCCUAGCCAAUGGAAAUUGAUGAUUAGGGUGCUAGGUGGUUAGUUAGGCUUGAAAUUAAUGCAUAUUAGUCUUGUGGUUGCCAAUGGAAAUUGAUGUUAAUUGCUUGAUUAAUGUAGAGUUAGUACCAUGGAAGUGGACUAGUUUACAUUAGUGUUCUAAGACUAAAGGAUUAGCAUUGUUAGAUUGAUAGAGCAUCUUGAAUUGAUUAUUGAUCACUCGAAUCAAUAAUCUAAACCCGAAGACUCGCUUUCUAUUUAUAGACUUGAACCGCUUUGCUUAUUUCUCGUUUCUUUGAUUUUGAAUCUUGUUGGUCUUUUGCAUAUUGAUAUCUUUUGUCUUAUUUUGCAUUGUUUAGUUUAAAUUGCAUUGUUAGUCAAAUUCAUAAAAACCAAAACUAUAUCUAUUAGCUUAGAUUAAGUGAAUGUGUGUAUUCCUAGUGUGUUGGUUCAUUGCUCCUUGAGGUUCGAUAUUUAAUUGGGUAAAAAUACUACAUCAAUUUGGCGCCGUUGCCGGGGAGCAAUAGCAAUUAGCCAUUAGGAUUUCAUUUUUGCUUGAGACUAAGCCAUUUAAUUUUUGCGCAAAUAAUUAGAUUCACGCAUCUAGUUGAGAUGAUGAAUUUUCUUUUGUUUAUUGUUACUAAUUUGUCUUCCUUGAUUCUCUUAUGCUUUCGAAGGUACUCAAAUCAAAAGAAGAAAAAUAGGAAGACGAGAUCAUUUAAGGUGUUGGAUGUGGACAAUCAUACAAACAUUAUUCAAGCUCCACAACCUCAGGAAUUGAUAUCAAAUACGACUCAUGCUCGAGAGAACACACCCACAAUAGGAAGCUUUGUUGCUCCUCAUUAUGAAUCAAGAUACGGAAUCCGACCUCCUCUAAUAGAAGUCAAUGCUUAUGAAAUCAAGACAAGUUUGAUUAGAUUGAUUCAAGGCUCUAAGUUCUUGGGGCUAGCUAUGGAGAAUCCUUAUGAUCAUUUGGACUCGUUUGAGAGGUUGUGAGCACAUUUAGGAUUAUAGGUGUGCCCGAAGAUAGUAUGAAGCUCAUUUUGUUUCCAUUUUCUCUUGGAGAAAAAGCAAGCCAAUGGGAGAGAGCAUUACCAUCUCAUUUGGUCAAUUCUUGGGAUGAUUGUAAGAAGAUCUUCCUUCUCAAGUUCUACUCUAAGCAAAAAACAGUCCAAAUAAGAAAUGACAUAAUGGGGUUUAAGCAAGGAGUCUAUGAAAGUUUUCAUGAAGCAUGGGGAAGACUUAUGGGAUAUAUUCGAGAUUGCCCUCAUCAUGGAUUCAACAGAGAAUCUAUCCUUAGUAUUUUAUAUUGGGGAGUUAAUAAGGAGUUAAAAAUUUCAUUGGACAUGGCUAGCAAAGGGUGUUUUGCAAACCUUACUGUGGAACAAGGAGAGUUACUUGUUGAGAAUUUUGCGCAAAGUGAUCAAAUGUGCAAUGAGAUAUGUGAUAAAUCGCCUCUAGAAACACCAAAUGAUGACUACAAGUGGCAAAAUUUGCAAGGUAAGUUGGAUGAUGUGGAGAAGUUCAUGAUGAUGCAACAAAGAAGAGUUAAUAUGGUUCAUGAGAAACACCAACAAGAUGGACUAUGCCAAGUUCUACAAGAACAAGGAUUUCAACCAAGAACUCAAUUCACGAACAAAGGACACUCUUCUAUUCAACCUCCUACCCAAGAUAAUGAAAUGAAUGCCAAGUUGUAACAAGUUUUAGAAGGCCAAACUAAUGGUUAUAUGGAUUUUGGUAAGAGGUUCGUUGAGAUGCAAAACAAGAUAGAUGGUAUGUACAAUGAUCUUGAUUGUAAGAUCACUAGCUUGGCUUCUCAUAUGAACUCCAUUAAUCUUAAGGUCUCUCAAGCCUCUUCUAGUUCAAAGAAUGCAAGUGGAGUAUUACAGAGUAAAUCCGAAGCUAAUUCCAAGGAGUGUUGUAAUGCUAUCUUCACAAAUAAUUUGGUUAUAGUUUAUGAGAAUGAAAAGGCAAUUGAAGAAAUUUCUAGAUUUCUCCAUGGUUCUAGUGUUGAGAGUUUGGCGGGUAAUAGUGAUGAGAAUAUCGAAAAGAGCACUAGAAAGUAUGAUGUGGUAAUCAAGCGGGUUCAAAAGGACGAAACCACAAAUAUUGAUCUCUCAAACAAGAGAGAAACAUUUCUCCACGUGAAAAACGUUUCUCUGGUAUUUGUCGCAUCGUUGAGAAAACUUCUCGUAGUCUUUGAUCAUUGUGGGCCAAAAGUACCCGUGGCGCUUGAUUUUGAUGGCUAAGGCUUUCCCGUCAGAGUGAUUUCCACAGGAUCCUCCGUGCACUUCUUCCAUGACUCUUCGAGCUUCGAUUCCUUCAACACAGAUCAGGAAAGGUCCGGAAAACCGCCACUUGAAGAGUUCUCCAUCGAGUAAAGUAUACCGAGCGGCUUUUGCUUUAAGCUUCCGAGCUGCCCAUUUUUCAGCAGGGACUUCUCCGUCAGCUAUGUAACUGCGGAUAGCUCCGAUCCAUUUGAUAUCGCUUCCGUAUUCGGGCUCGGUUACGCCCUCUGUUUGUUGGUCAGUUGGCUUGGUGUCCAUUUCUCCAGAAUCUUCUAUUUCCCGAGCUGUGAACACGCGUUCUUCGCUGCUGUCUUUAAUACUUGGUUUUUCUAUGAACUCGACCAGUAUGAUUCUCUUCAUGUUUAGAUCGGAGGUCGAAGCCAUAGCUGCUAAGGCGUCAGCUGAUGUGUUUUCGCCUUGUGGAAUUCGUGUCAACUCGAACUCGCCGAACUGUUUCGCCAGGUCCUGAGUUAUAGUAAGGUAUGCUUCCAUUCGUUUAUCCCGAGCCGUGUACUCUCCGUUGAACUGGUUGGCCACAAGCUGGGAGUCACAAAAGGCUCGUAUUUUGUUGAUCUUAAGUCCCCGUGCCAACUUCAGUCCGGCUAUGAGCACCUCGUAUUCUGCCACGUUGUUGGUUGCAUCGAAGUUCAGUCGGAAAGACUGUUCAAGAAUUUCCCCUUCCGGAGAUACUAAGCGAAUCCCGACGGCAGAGCCCUGCUUUGAGGACGAGCCGUCGACAUGGAGGAUCCAAACGGCGUCGGGCGAAUUUUCUCUAAUGUUUUCUAGCGGCAGUUCGAUGAUAAAAUCUGCCAAGACUUGGGAUUUUGCGCACGUCUUGUUUCUGUACUCAAUGUCGUAUUCACUGAGUUCUAUUGCCCAUUUGGCUAGGCGUCCUGAUUGGCUUGGACUAUGCAAGAUGGCUCAGAGUGGUAUGGGAGCCAUAACUACGAUGGAGUGAGAUUGGAAGUAUGGUCAUAAUUUUCUGAGCCGACAUUACGACUGUGAGGGCGAUCUUUUUGGUUUGUGGAUAACGCGUUUCUACAUUGGUGAAAGUCUGCGAGAUGUAGAAAAUCGGUUUUUGCUCCCCCAAUCUUCUCUGACUAUUACUCCGCUGACCGCCGUGUCCGAGACGGCGAUGUACAGAAAUAGCGGUUAGCCCGGGACCGGUUUUGCCAAGACUGUUAGAUUUUCCAGAUACAUCUUUAGUUCCUAGAAAGCUUCCUCGCAACGAUCGGUCGAUUCGAAUUUCUUGUUUCCACGCAAAAUAUCGUAGAAGGCCAGACAUUUAUCAGUAGAUCGGGAGAUGAAUCGGUCCAGGACUGCGACUCUUCCGGUCAGACGUUACAUCUCGCGUUUGUAUUGCGGCGAGGCCAUGUUCAGUAGAGCAUUGAUUUGUUUAGGAUUCACCUCGAUGCCUCUGUGAGUUACCAGAUAUUCCAGGAAUUCGACUGACUUUACCUCGAAGCGACAUUUUGCUGGGUUGAGCUUCAUGUUGUGUAGGUUAAGCUGUCAGAAACAGUCGCGUAGAUGGGCCACAUGGUCGUUUUCCUCGAGGGACUUGACUAGCAUUUCGUCAAUGUAGACCUCCAUUGUCUUCCCGAGCUACUCGGAAAACAUCUUGUUGACGAGCCGUUGGUAUGUCGCGCCGGUGUUUUUGAGUCUGAAAGGCAUGACUUUGUAGCAGUACAUGCCACGGCUGGUAAUUAACGCUGUCUUCUCUCGAUCAUCUGGGUGCAUAAGGAUCUGGUUUUAUCCUGCGUAGGCGUCCAUGAACGAUAGCAGCUUGUUUCCGGCGGUUGCUUUUACCAAUCGGUCGAUAUGUGGGAGCGAGAAACUGUUCUUCGGGCAGGCUUUGUUCAGGUCAGUGAAGUCAACGCAAAUUCUCCAUUUCCCGUUCUUCUUUUUCACCAUGACAGGAUUUGCUCGCCAGUCAGAGUAUCUUGCUUCGGAGAUCUAGCCGAUCUUCAGGAGUUUUUCCACUUCUGCGUUCACAGCAUCGGCGUGGUUUCUGCCCAAUUUCCUCCUCUUCUGUUUGAUGGGUUUGAACGAUAGGUCUACAUUCAACUCGUGGCAAAUUACGUCGAUACUUACUCUAGGUAAGUCCUCGGGUGACCAGGCAAAAGUGUUGACGUUUUUCUUGAGAAAUAAGAUGAGCUCGGCCUUGAUCUCCUCGGUCAGGUCGUAGCCUAUCUCAACGCACCGCUCAGGUCGUUCAUCGUCAAGGCUGAUGAAGAUUACAAGAUCCGAGGUAGGCUUCUUCUCCUCGUGAGACUCCUCGAUCUGUAAUUGCUAUAACUGUUUUGAUAUAGCCUUCUCCUCGCUUCGACUAAUUUUUGACUUCUUGUGGUCGACCUCGGUGUUGGCUUCGGCGCGAGGUUUCGAAGUUUGUGCGCUGACAUGAAACACAUCCGUGAAUUCUUCUGACUUCCCCAUAUCGUCUUUACACCGUUGGGCAUCGAGAAUUUUACGCAGAGGUGACAUGUUGAAGCGACAGCUCGCAUCAGGUUUAACCACGGCGUCCCCAUUAUGAUGUUGUAGAUGGUUGGUUGAUCAGUGAUUGAAAAAAUGAUUAUCUUUGUCACUCCGCCGGCCUGGACUGGCAGCUGAAUAGUUUCGGGCGUCAUCAAUGUUUCUCCUGAGAAGUCGAAGACUGGCCUCGGGGUCGGAGUUACUUGCAAAAUAUCGAUGUUCAUAUGUCAAAGCGUCUCGCGGAAUAUUACGUCAAUAGUGCUGCCUAUGUCGAUCAGUAUUCGUGAUACGUUGUGGUCUCCUACGGCUAGUGUGACGACGAGGGGAUCGUUGUGAAGCAUGUCGACUCCGUUCGUUUUACUUUCCUCGAACGCGACUGUGUCAUUGGGUCGGUCUAAUAGUCUUGAGCAGUUGAUGGGCGCCUCGGCCCAGUGUUGAUAGGCUUUGAUUGCCACUACGGUGUCGGGGCAGUAUGGUGAUCCACCCAUUAUAGUUAGUACCUUCUGUAUUGUGCCAUCGCGAUCCCUUUUUGGUAUUCCUCGGGGAUGCUUCGGAGCUUCCUGGUUUCUUGGCUCGGGAUCCCUUACCGUAUUGGUUUGCUCAAGCUGAACUUGCUCCGGCUCUAGAUCCUUGAGCGUGAUAUUCGUCCCGAGUUCUCCAGCUAGGAAUUUGGCUGCCAACUUCGCCCUAAGGCUCCGGCAUCGGGAGGUGUGAUGUCCGAAAGUUUUGUGGGGCUCGCAGUAUUCUUGAUUGUUACUUGGUGGUUGAUCUCUCGUUCAAGUGAACGAGUCUCUUCCUCGUCCACGACUGCGGCCUCGACCUCGGGCCGUAUCGAUUUGAUAGUUGUGGACCCCCGAGAAAUUGCGUCCUUCAUGAUAUGUAUACGUCCCGCUCUGGUUUACCUUCUUCUGGGUCGGUGGUGUUGCUUGAGUUUUCUCGGUUCGGGCCGCCUGUUUCGUCGGCUCGUGUCUCUUUGCUAACAACUCCAUCUCUUCUUCGUAGGCGACGAAAUACGAGGCUCAGUGCAGCGCAUCGCGAAUUGUGGUGGGUUUGGACAGGUUCAGCUCUUUUCUGAAUUCUGACUUAUACCAGAGGGCUUUCUUAAGGCCGAAAGGGCAGCCACAUCGGUGAUUCCUUCGACCCUUUCUAGUGUUGAUUUGAAAGUUGCGAGGAAAUCCCUUAAUGGCUCGUUGGGCUGUUGCAUAGAGUACUUCUUGAGAAAGAGCGUUGACAGCUCGUCGAAACUAUCGACCGAGUUUCGAUCUAAUCUUGAAAACCAGUCAAGUGCAGUUCCCUUGAGGGGCUCGACGAAUAACAAGCAUAGACCAGUGUCCUUCUCUCCGGGUUUAAACUUGGCUCGGGCCACAGAUAUCAUGAAUGAUUUAAUGUGUCUCUUCGGGUCAGUCGUUCUGUUGAAGUAAUCGAUCUUGAGCUUUCCCGGGUCGGAGACUGUUGCUUUGGAGAUUCUUCUAGUGAAAGGUGUAUUGCGAGAUUCUUCUAAGAUGCAGUCGAUGUUAGGUGCUGAGGAAGACACGCUAUGCAUCUGUGAUUUGACGAUCUUCAUAUCGGCUACAGCUUUGGCUAAGGAGGGUUUGAUUUCACCGGGCUCUCGUUGCCUCUCAUACUCUUCGCCCCACCUUGCGUUCUCCUCUGCUUCUUCGUCGUCGGUGGCAUCGGUUCGCUCAGGGGAAUUGACUCCGGUUCGGGGAUCUUGAGCCUGUUGAUUGCCCGGCUUGUUCUUUUGGUUUAUUGUGUUCGGGUCUGAAUGGUCAUCCUGAUUCUCGUGUCGGGCGAGCUCGACUCGGGCUUCAGCUCUACUGUUUUCGGUCGGUGUUGCGAAGACAAGUCUUGUUAGGUUGAUGUCGGGUAUAUCUCUUCGGGCUCGUAUCGGCCGAGUCUGAAAACGUGUGAUCCUGAACUGUCCACGGGACGCGACUUCUUCGAUUUGCUGUGCCAUGGUCUUGUUAACUUUUUCUUGAUCGUUGGCUUUCUUCUGGAGUUGAACCAUCAUAUCCUUCAGCUCAGCUAGGGUUGUCGAGAUUGCUGGUUCGGCUUGGGGAUUCUGAGGGUUCGGAGGAAUCGGGUUACCUCCACCAGCUAGUAGAUGAUGGUCGUCUUUAGUCAUCGUUUUUCUUCGGUGAUUGAGUUAUGCGUUCUUGGAGUAUGAGAAUUCUAAAGCAUCCCAACAGACGGCGCCAAACUGUGGAAGUCAAAACUUAACACAAUCGAGAUUUGUCUAGGGUUUUAUUUUAGGGAUACGAUGUGCAAGAAUUCUCAAAGAACAACAGAAAAACUUGUGAUCAAAGAUGGUGUUCUUGAUAUUAUUGAUGAAAAGAAUAGUUUUGAUCGUACAGAGAACUAGAUCGUAAAAAGAAAAGUGUUUGUUCGCUUUCGAGAGUCAGAGUUUUUUGUAGUCUGAAAUCUAGAGCAUUUUUGCUUCCCUCUUCUGUGAGAGCCUUGAGUUGCUUUAUAUAGGGAUAGUAAACCGCCUCCUAGCAAUAUUCUCAGGUAGCACUGAGACUUUGCCUCGGGGUAGCACUGAGACUUUGCCUUGGGUAGCACUGAGACUUUGUCUCGGGUAGCAUUGAGACUUUGCCUCGGGGUAGCACUGAGACUUUGCCUCGGCAGUGUACCCCGAGCUGACUGGCUGUGUACCCUGAGCUAAAUAACUGUGUUCCCCGAGCUGACUGACUGUGUUCCCCGAGCUGAUUGACUGUGUACCCCGAGCUGACUGACGGUGUUCCCCGAGCUGACUGGCUGUGUACCCCGAGCUGACUGACUGUGUUCCCCGAGCUGAUUGUGUACCUUGAGCUGACUGACAGGGUACCCCGAGGUGUUGUAGGCUUGGUCUCAAAGGAUGGGUGAAAUCCGACCCCAACAAGUCACGUGAAACUCUUCAUCUAAGCAAAAAAUUGAACUAAACAGACUAAUCAUGCACAUCUAAGAUCAAGUACGAAUGAAUCUAGCUUGUAAUUACUUAGGAGAAGACAUCAAAUUGGUUUACAAAGAGACAAAGCCUUCACAUUCAAGAAACCAAACCUAGUAAAUUUGACUAACCUUUAUAUAUAAUGCAAACGUUAAGGACUCACACAAAACCAAAUCGUUAAGGACUCACACAAAACGUGUAACGAAGAGAGGUUAUCGAGACGUGUAGGCCACAAAUUGUUUUCUGAAGGACUCACCAACUUGAUUCAACUAACGUCUAAUUGUUUUCUGAAACUUUUUGCCACAAAUUUAUUCAAACUCACUUGGAAACCAAAAUCAAGACACCCUCACAACAACAAAAACAAAACAUGUCUACUAAGUAAGACUCUGUGGAGUGCAUAAAACCGUUGUAUAGAAACAAACGAAACGGUAAGCACCUGCAAGUUUUAACAGCAACAACACAAAACCUAAAUCAACACAAAACAGUUAAGAAACAACCAAGCCAAUAAUGAGGCAAUUCGUCGAACACCUGGAGGGCAUGAAAAGCAUCAUCAGAACAUAAACCACUCCACUCCGGCCAAAAGCUUCUAAGAAAUCAAUAUAAUCCAAAUCGAUCAAACCCUACCAAAAUCUAACCCAAGUGCUCAUGAAUCUACUGAACCCUAACAAAAUCAUACCUGCGACGAAGAUGUUUUGGGGUUCUUGGCCAACGAAAUCAAUAGCUAUGGUUUAGGGGAUCUGGACGAGCGAAGAAGAUGAAGGAUGAAGAAUUCAUAGAAUUUAAGAAGAAGAAGAAUUUGGGGAUAAGAGCGAGAAUGACAAAGAGUGAUAGAAAUUGAUAAAAUCCAAUAGAUCUAGGGGUGUAUAAUCAUAGGAAAAGAGUGAAUAGGUAAAUGAGAGGUAAGGAGAAGGGAAGAAUCAAGGAAGAAGGGAAGAAUAGAGGAAGACACUACAAGAAAACACUUCAUUUGCGACUGUGAUAUUAGUCGCUAAACGGUCGUGAUUGCUCGAGUAAUUACCCGAUACACUUAACCGCAAGGUAGUAUAUACGGGGUCGAUCCACAAGGACCUAAGAUACUCUAAGGAUUUUCGAGACUUGUUCUUAGCUAAAACUAAAAAGUUGUUUUGUUUGAGUUUUCCGAAUUGUAAAAUAAAAAUGCAAUUAAAUUAAACGAUUUAAGUUUCAAGAUUUAAAGACAUUAGGCAUUAGGGUAUUUCAGAGAUCAAUAAACAAUGGAAACAUGAGACAAGGAAUUCAACAAUUACGAACCGUUCUUGAACAUGAACACAUUUAGACCAACUCUCUUUCAAGACAUUAAUCACUAAAUUUGACUAUUCGAUUACUAAACUUUCGCAUGCAAUUUCCUAAUCAAAUUCGUAUUACCAACUAAGUUCAUUUAGUUCACAAUGCGUCCUAACGUCAACUUUCGUUGGCUAGAAAUACAUUGCUCAAUUCACAUUCUUUCAGGCAUUCUAUCGAACACUUUUGAUGCAUAGAAAAACCUAGGUUCUACAACAGGGUGAUCAAUCCUAUUCUAGCAUUAAGAACAUGUGAAUCAAAGAACCUAAAGAAUGAAAUUCCUAAUAACAAUCAAUCCAUUAAUCCAUUGAAUCUCCUAAUUAGAACCCUAAAACCCAAUUAAAAGACUACUCACACAUAACAACAGAAAUAAGACAAAUAGAUUGAAAGGAAAGCAUAAUGGAAUUGAUAAAUAAGAAUAAGGGUUUAGAAAUCUUCUCCAAAGUGUCAAAGAGGAUGAAUCUCUAGAAUCCCAAAAAGUUUACAAAGAGAAGUCUCAAAAGUUGCAGAGAAAAGAACGUAAAAAGAAAAUUAGGUCUCUGGAGUUUUUAUACCCAAGUACAAGGGUGGAUCGAUCGAUCCCAUGGGUGGAUCGAUCGAUCCCAUGGGUGGAUCGAUCGAUCCCAUGGGUGGAUCGAUCGAUCCAGAUAUGCUGAAUCAAUUGGUCUUGGGCGGAUGAUGCUGGAUCGAUCGAUCCCCCCUGGGAUCGAUCGAUCCCGAAGCUCCUAGAGUCAAGCUCUGCACCUGCUUCAAAUGCUCGCCAGAUUGACAUGUCUUCACUAAUUUGGGUAUAACUCUUGAAUGCACCGUUAGAUUUCCUUCAAACCACUUGGAAAAUCAAGCUAACAUCUUCAUCUAGAUUGUGUCAAAAAUUCAGAAAGAUCUAACUGUGGGAAGUCUUCCAUCUGAGGCCAAACGUUUGAUACUUCUAACUGAAACUGCAUCUCCAAAUGUGUGUUUAUAUCCCAAAACAGCUCGUUUUCCUCCGAAGCAACCUAAAACCUGUAAAGACUCGAUAAAAGACUAAAAGACUCUAAAAACACACUUUGACUCUUUAAAAUAUAUGAUCUAGGAAAGAAAACAAAGACUCAAAACCGAUAAAAACACAACAUAUCAGGUCGCAAAAGAGGGUUUUGCAACUGAAUAACGACUAUUUCCAUUGGUCGCAAAAAAAUGGUCGCAAAAUUUCCGUGUAUCACUAUAGUCGCUAAUUUGCGACUAUUUUGCGACUAUAAAUAUAUCGUCGCAAAUUACCGACUAAUCUGUGACAGGUGAAUAUCGUUGCAAAUGUGCGACUAUUUUAGGACUCAUUUAUUAUGGUGACAAUAUAGUCCUUUAUUAGUAACCAUUUUGAUACAAGAUUUGGAGUUAUUUGUAAAUUUGUUUAGUCACAGUUUGGUCACAUUUGUUAAUUGUUCUGGUCACAAACUAGUCAGAAUUUCUGAAACUUUUUGGUCAUAGAAUGGUUACAUCUUAUUAGUCUGAAACCUGUCCAUUUCAAAAGCAAAUGCAUUCAAAAACCAUUCAAAUAUCAAUCAAGUACCAUUCCAAACCAUUCAAAAACUAUCCUAAUCAAAGCAUAACAUAUCCUAAUAAGUUCACAUACACAGACAAAAGGAAACUAAAAUCAAGUUGAAUGAUUUGAGGUGGUGUUAGAUAGAGGAGAGGUUGGUGUGGUUCCAGUGGUGUGUCCUGCUGGUUGGACUGCAGCUCCUAUGGUGCCUGGAAGGGUGUCGGAAGGGUGGCAAGAUAGUAUUUCAUGAGUGCAGCGACAUCAACUGGAUUCACACCCUCAGGUAUUGACGCACUAGGAUCUGCCAAACAAGUGAUUCAAUCAAAUUACAAUUUCUCACUAAGCUAUAAGAGUCGAGGCAAAUCUUGCUAGAAUGUCGGCUAUCUUGAUUGUAAGCAGAAACCAAUUGUUGAAUCAACUUUUUAUCUCCUUCGGCUUUGAACAAGUUCGGUGAAUUAAGCCCUGGUAAGAGGAAAAUAUCACAUUGAUAACUCGAUAUGAGAAGGUAAGAGCAAUAAAAGGUUUGUGAUCCAUUGGUCCAAACAUUAUUACCUGUUAAUAUGAGAUAAUCUGCGCAUUUAAUCAGUAUCAGUGGUAUAGGCCUGCUUGACUCUUGCCGCUGGACAAUGAUCUCAAUCAGAACACCAAACACUGAGUGCCAAAAAAAACGUCAUAUAGAGAAAGUUACAGCAUUUCAAACAAGCAGAGCAGAAUCUUAAUAACUAAUAGUUAUCUCAAGAACGGACUAAUAAGAGGAUUAAGUAUCCCCACUACCCUCCAUCAAAGAAUCAAUUGACCUUUCGAUUAACUAAAUGUUUAUAAACUGUAUUCUCUCCAUAAAUUGCGAUUAACUUACCAUCUGAGCUGGCAACUCCCUGCAGAUUUACAAACAAUAGAUAUUAGAGACCAAACUUCAAAUCAACGGCAUACAAUCAGAUUUCAGACUCAAGUACCUUCUGCCACCUUUCGAUGUCCGUCAAAAUGGUCUUGCUUUUUUGUGCAGUCUUUUUGGCUGCCUAAGAGAAAACAAAGAUCAAAGAAUUUAGGUGUCAGAAGUUAUAAGCGACAAACAUUCUUGUCAAGUCAAUUCAAGAAGCUACACCUCUUCCAUUUUGAUCUUUCCAACAUAAACCUUUUCCUUUGUCUCAGUUAUACCCUUCCUGACCAAGGUCCCGGUUGUGGCAGCAGCUGUUAUGAGGUGUUCUUGCACGGCAUGUCUAGUUGCCGGCUGCUGAAGAAUUGCCCACCAGAAACUGCACUAAGAGCAUUUAACUACGCUUUUAGACAGCUCAUUCAUUACCGUGCCCAUGCCAUCCAAACCAGCCUUAACCAUGUACAAAAAUAAAGAGGAAUAUUAGUCGAAAUGUAGAAGCAAAAACUAAUAACAUUGGAAAAUUAGAAGACCAUUUACCAUCUCAAGGAGAAUGCUAUCCUUGAGAUUAUAUGCUGAUAUGCUAUCAUAGGUUAACUUAGGGAAAGGAAACACUAGUUAUUGAAAGGUAAAUUAGAAGUAAAGAACAAGCACAUACUUAGACAAAUAAUAACAGAGAUACAACAAACACAGUAGUUUCUUAGAAUCAAUAUACAAACACAAACUUAAGCAAAUUAGAUGAGCAACUACUAUACUAACACACUCGUUUCUUAGAAUCUUUAUUUAACAAUCAGAUUAGAACAAAUUAAAGACAAAUCAAACCUUUUUCACUUUGAAAUUCGAAAAAGCAAUUAUAAACAUCAUCUGAAGUAAUAUACUAACCUAAAAUCAAACCAAAAAACCUAGAGAAACAGAGAAAUGAAGCUAACAUGGAAUAAACAGAGCCAAGAGAGAAAUCGAGUUAAAAACUGGUUGUAAUCGAACACUAUACAGCCCUAAACAUCAAAAAUAAUAGCAGAUCUAAUAUGAAAUCGAGCAAAUAAAACAAAAUCAAGCAUUUACAAAUCACGAGAAGGAGAAGAGUCAUAAACAGUACCUGCCGGACCCGAGUCGGAUGGACGUUGGCGACGGUCAUUCUCUUGGCCGGAGGAAGUGAAAGACCCCAACCCAGACUCCCUAAGCCCGUAGAGGUUCUUCCCGAACGGAUCACUAAGUGGUCCGAUCCUUAGCCAAAUUUUAGGGUUCAUUCCUUAAGACAAUCCGUUUCAUAUUAUUCCGCGAUUUAUUAUUUAGAGUCAUUAUGCAACCUUAGAGUAAAACAAACGAUCGGAUACUUUAUUAGAUAAGUAAAGGAUUCGAUACAACUUAUGAGUUUGCAUAUAAGCUAUUACAAGUCAUAUAAUCGAUCCUAUUCUACCCGAUUCACCACCACCCAUCUUCCCGGCCAUGAGUCUCUCGCGCCUAAGCCAAAUCCUUCCCACGAUCACCAUCCUUCCCUGAAACCAACAAGACAUAAGUACUCGUCUUUUACUUAGUGGAUGCAAGUCCAUGCAAUGCACUAUACGUUCUUAUAAUCCUUUGGUCCGGAAAACGGAUCGGAGAGAGGAAGUAAGCGCAUCAGUUCGGCCUAGAACCGGUAGAUCCUCGCGGAUCCACCGAUUCCUUGCCGAGCCGCCUCCCCGUCUCAACCAAACCGUUACUCCUCACAAAGUAUGCACGAUAUGAAUAUGCUCAUGAAUGACUAGGCCGAUCAACGAACUAAUCAAGCAACCCACAAUAUUCUAGCCCUUAUACCAUCCGCACGUCCGGAGAUCGUAAUCUCCGAGGCAUUACCACGCUUUACACCCACCUUGACUACACGGAUUCGAUCGGUGAAUGAUCCGUGUUGCCUCUCUCGAUCGCCGAUAGAACGCUCGGCUCCGAAAACUCUCCUUUUAACCGUAUUCCUCUCGGCAAAUGCCUUAGAGUUUCCUCUGGAUUUUAGGUGUUUGCGCGUGUCGUGAAAAUAAAGGAAUCGCCUUCUAUUUAUAGUUUUUACGAUUAAAACCGUUUUUCCCCAUAGGUGCCCGUUCGGUGGAACACGCUUGUUCGCAUAGGUUCUUUGAAACCGCUCAUUCAUGCAUCUUUGACCAACCGUUCGUUCGCGUCUAUUCGGCCGUUAUAUGUAACCGUCAACCCAACCGCCUUACUACCUUCCCACCCGACCAGCUGACCUAGCUAGACUGUCACUCAACCAGCUGACCUUCACUCCGUCCAGCUUAGGUGAGCUACCGAGCAGCUGGUCCAGCUAGUCGAGCUGGUUAGCUUCAACACUUCCAGCUCGUUUCAGCUUGUCAUGCACUUCAGAAGCCACUCUAUCCGCUUCCUUUGGACUUAGCCCGAGAUUCCGCUUUUCCCUCGAACCAAGUCUUCCCCGGCGAUCCUAUUGAGGAUUGCGGGUGUUACAAGUCUCCCCCCCUUGGAUGGGAUUCGUCCCCGAAUCCGACUCAAGUGGAUCUUCAUCCAUCUCCUUAAACCACUUAGGAAAAUCGGCCUUCAUCUUAUUCUCCGUUUCCCAAGUAGAUUUUUCGCGGCCAACGCAAUCCCAUAAAACUUUUAUCAUGGUUAUCCGUUUCCUCCGAGUUCCCUUCUCCAUUCGAUCCAUGAUUCGAAUUGGUCUUGCUUCCACCGUUAGGUUUUCUUUUAACUCGGAAGGAAUAUCUUCGAAACGCUCCUCGUGUUCGCUUAGAUAUUUCCGAAGUUGUGAUACAUGGAAGACCUUGUGGAAUGCAUUCAACUUUGGUGGUAGUUGGAGUUUGUACGCCACAGCCCCUACCCUUUCGAUCACCUUGUAUGGACCAACGUACCUUGGACUCAAUUUCUUCCUUAUAGUAAAUCGCCCUUUUCCCUUAUAAGUCACCGCCUUAAGAUAUACCAAGUCUCCCACUUGGAACUCCAACUCUUUUCGACGCUUAUCCGCAUAAUUUUUUGUCGGUUUUGGGCUUCCUUUAGUUUUAUCUUAAGGAACUUCAUCUUUUCGGUGGUUUCAUCCACAAUCUUCGGACCGAACAGCAUACGUUCGCCCACCGGUGUCCAACAUAGCGGCGUCCGACAUGCUCGGCCGUACAACGCUUCGUAAGGCGACAUACCAAUACUAGCUUGAUAGCUAUUAUUGUACGCGAACUCCACCAACCUUAAGUACUUCUCCCAAUUCCCACCCCAAUCCAAGACGCAUGCACGUAACAUGUCCUCAAGGGUUUGAAUCGUACGCUCGGAUUGUCCGUCCGUUUGAGGAUGGUAAGCUGUGCUCAAGUUCACCCGCGUCCCCAAGGCUUUUUGGAAAGCCUUCCAGAAAUGCGACGUGAAUCGUGUAUCCCGAUCCGACACAAUGCUUACCGGAACCCUAUGUAACCGGAUUAUCUCGUCUAUGUACUUUGCUGCGAUCUCCUCGGCUCCAUCCGUUUCUGAAAUUGCCAUAAAAUGCGCGGACUUUGUUAAUCUGUCCACCACAACCCAAACCGCAUUGUGUUUAGACUUGAUCCCCAUAGGUAACCCGGUAACAAAGUCCAUUGUUACAUAGUCCCACUUCCAUUCCGGCAUAGGUAGAUUUUGCACCAAUCCACUCGGAACUUGGUGUUCCGCCUUGACUAGUUGGCACGUCGAACACUUAGCAACCCAUGCCGCUACGUCCUUCUUCAUUCCAACCCAAUGGUAGUAUCGUUUCAAGUCUCGGUACAUUUUACUCGAUCCGGGGUGGAUCGAGAACUUCGAUUGGUGCGCCUCUUUGAGGAUUUCUUCCUUCAACUCCUUAUCGUUUGGCACGCAUACCCGACCAUUCACCACAAUCGUACCAUUGUUAGACGUUUGGUAUUCCGUCUUAUCGUUCCUUGCCCAAUCGUUUAUCUCCUUGUCUUUCUCUUGAGCCAAACGAAUUCUACUAAGUAGAUCGGCUUGAUCGGCCGCACCUAAUCCCAAUGGCUCAUAAUCCUUAGACAAUGCAUUUAAAUGCAAAGUUCCCAUCAUGUUGACCAAAGCCUCUUGGUUUUUCUCCGCUUCUACUUCAAAACGUCUCCUACUUAAGGCAUCCGCAACUUGAUUUGCUUUCCCCGGGUGAUAUGCAAUAUCUAAGUCGUAAUCCGCCACGAAUUCCAUCCACCUUCUUUGCCUUAGAUUUAACUCCGGCUGGGUGAAUAUGUACUUAAGACUCUUGUGGUUGGUGAAGAUUUGGACUUUAGCUCCGUAAAGAUACGAUCGCCAAAUCUUCAAGGCAAACACCACCGCCGCCAUUUCCAAGUCAUGCGUAGGAUAAUUUCCUUUGUGUUUACGCAAUUGCCUUGAAGCAUAAGCGAUUACACUACCUUUUUGCAUCAAUACGCAUCCUAGUCUCGUGAUCGAUGCAUCCGUAUAGACCAGGUAGGGUUCACCUUCUUCCGGUAGCACCAAUACCGGAGCGCUCGUUAGCAUAGCCUUCAAUUCCGAGAAACUUUUCUCACAUUCCUCCGACCAUUGAAACUUUGUAUCCUUUCCGGUUAGCCGGGUCAUCGGUUGGGACAUACUCGCAAAGCCCUUAACGAAUCUUCGGUAAUAUCCCGCCAACCCGAGGAAACUUCUUAUCUCAGUGGCAUUCUUCGGUCGUGGCCAAUCCUUAAUAGAUUUUAUCUUCUCCGGAUCGACGGACACUCCUUUAUCCGAAACAAUAUGUCCGAGGAAUCCAAUACUCCUUUGCCAAAACGAGCACUUGCUUAAUUUUGCAAAUAACUCGUGCUUUCUCAACCGUUCUAACACCGCCCUUAGAUGAUCUUGAUGGGAUUCCCAAUCCUUAGAAUAAACAAGAAUAUCAUCGAUGAAGAUGAUCACAAACUCGUCUAAAAAUUCCUGGAAAACACCAUUCAUCAUCUUCAUAAAGGCUGCCUGUGCAUUGGUUAGUCCAAAUGGCAUGACCACAAAUUCGUAAUGGCCAUACCUUGUCCGAAACGCCGUUUUCCGAAUAUCCAGCGGAUCUAUCGGAAUUUGGUGGUAUCCCGAGGCCAAGUCUAUCUUUGAAAACCACUUGGCACCUCGAAGUUGAUCCAACAACUCAUCUAUCCGGGGUAAUGGAUACUUGUUUUUCACCGUAACUCUAUUCAAUCCCCGAUAGUCAAUGCAUAGCCUAAAGCUACCAUCCUUUUUCUUUACGAACAAGACCGGUGCACCCCAUGGUGAACUACUCGGUCUAAUGAAUCCUUUAUCCAACAACUCUUCCAAUUGUUUCUUUAGCUCCGCCAUUUCCACCAGUGCCAUCCGGUACGGAGCUUUAGAUAUAGGAGUUGUUCCUGGUUCGAGUUCAAUAGUGAAUGGAUCGGACCGGUCCGGUGGUAAACCACUCACGGCCUCAAACACAUCCGAGAACUCGUUUGCGAUCGGAAUGUCUUUCAACUCCGCACUCACCCCAACUUCGUGGGUUGUGAUUGUUGCUAUGUAUGCCUCACACCCUUUCUCUAGCAUCCUUUCCGCUUGGAUUGCCGAGAUUACCAAACUUCCCGAAGUUGUCCUUAUUCCUUGGAAUUUUAACAUUCCUUCCUCCCUCUCGAAUUGAAUCCGUCCUCGAUGACAAUCAAUAUGUGCCUUAUACUUUCCCAACCAAUCCAUACCCAAGAUAACAUCGUGUUUCUUGAGUUGAACAACGAUUAGGUCUGUAGGCAUAUUGACACCGUUAACUACAACCGAGAUGUCCCGAACAAUACCGGACGGGUACAUUGCUUGCCCGCCGGCUGCUCUAACCAUUUCAUAUUCGGUGUUCCGUUCUUUAAUGAACCCACCCUUUUUAACCAUCUCGGAACUCACAAAACAAUGUGUAGCUCCGGAAUCAAAUAAAGUGUGUGUUUCCACAUCACCUAUACUCAAGGUCCCUACACAUUUCCCUAUAGUGCUAAGUACCUAAUCCGUUUAUGCACGAUGAAAUGCAAUGCACGAAUUAAAAUAAAAAGCACAAAGGCUUACCAGUGAUCGCCCUGAAGUUCCCAGCGUUGUUUGCUUCCUCCGACAAUUCGUAAACGCGCGGUGCUAUAGCCUGCCUCUUGGGCGGAGGCAGUAACCCAUUUCCGCUACGGUUUACCCUUUGUCCAGCUUGUCUUUCCGCUUCCAGCUUUGGACAUUCUCUCUUGAAGUGUCCCGCUUUCCCACAGUAGAAGCAAGUCCUUUGCUCAUUCACACUCUCUUUCGGAGUUCCUUGUUCCAUCCGUGGACAGUUUUGGAUACUAUGAUCCUUACUCCCACAACGCACACAUGCACCAACAGCCCUCCAGCAAGUUCCGCUGUGAUUCUUCCCACAAGUAGCGCACUCUCCGCGCUUAGUAUCCGAUUUGGUGUCCUCCACCUUAUCAAAUUUCCUCUUCUUUUCCAUCGGUUUCGUUGGCUGCGAAGGACGCGACAAAAACUUCUCCGGUUUCAUCCGUUUCUCCUCCUCAAGCCCAGCUUCGAUCAUGGCUGCCCUCUCAACCAAUUCGGACACCGAAGUAAAGGUUCGAAUCAAGCAAUGGUUACGGAUCUCGAUCCUUAGUCCUCAGAUGAAACGACGAACUUGAGCUUGUUCAUCCUCGAGUUCUCUCCCCACAUAUCGCCUAAGACGAUUGAACUCUUCGUCAUACUCGCGCACCGUUCGGUUCCCUUGAACCAAAUCCAAGUAGGCGCACUCGAGUCUGUCCCAAGCCUCCGGUGGGAAGAACUUCUUGUUGAAUUCUUCCUCAAAAUCUGCGAAGGAUUGGAUUUAAUCACCUUUCCGUUUCUCGACGGUUAGCCACCAGUUAUGUGCAUCGCCCUCCAAGAAGUGGAUCGCAAUGUCCUUCCGGUAAUCCUCCGGGCAUCGAGUGGAGUUAAAGUUUCUUUUGAGCCGAGUCCUCCACUCAUCCGCCACGAUCGGGUCGGAACUCCCCGUGAAAUGCUUUGUUCCCAACUUCGAGACGUGCGCGAGUAAACUUAAGUAGUCUCCCCGCUUCCUUGAAGAGUUCGUAGGCAGAUUGACUUCAACAGUCUCCACAUCUACGUCCGCAUCCGCGUCCGUUUUGUUCUCCUUCACUUGUACCACAGGAUCCGGUACGAGUGCCUUAGUCAAUGCGGCCAUUUGUGCCAUCAUUGCCUUCAUCGUAUCCCAUUGUUCUUGGGCCGAUGGAAGUGCAUUCGGUGCCUCUUUUUCCUCCGUUACAUCACUACUCUCCGGAGUUUCGUGAACCAGAAGUUUCUGUCCAGCCUCAGGUCCGGCCGGGUUUAUUCCAUCCAUCGUUGCUUCGACCCUUGUUUCCUCAGUGACCCGCGUCUCCUCGGCGGUCAAGGUCUCCUCAACGACGUCCUUAUCCUUCUUACUCUUUCCCUUCUUGUCUUUCUUACCCAUCUGCGAAAACUCACAAGUUAGUCAUAUAACUCAAAGUAAUCGUUUAGAGAGAAAGAACAUCUACCGCGAGAUCUCAUUAAGCCGAUGAGUGGUGAUCCCCAAACCCAAAACUCAUAGUCCUAGAACCGUAAAUGCUCUGAUACCAACUUGAAAGACCCCAACCCGGACUCCCUAAGCCCGGAGAGGUUCUUCCCGAACGGAUCACUAAGUGGUCCGAUCCUUAGCCAAAUUUUAGGGUUCAUUCCUUAAGACAAUCCGUUUCAUAUUAUUCCGCGAUUCAUUAUUUAGAGUCAUUAUGCAACCUUAGAGUAAAACAAACGAUCGGAUACUUUAUUAGAUAAGUAAAGGAUUCGAUACAACUUAUGAGUUUGCAUAUAAGCUAUUACAACUCAUAUAAUCGAUCCUAUUCUACCCGAUUCACCACCACCCAUCUUCCCGACCAUGAGUCUCUCGCGCCUAAGCCAUAUCCUUCCCACGAUCACCAUCCUUCCCUAAAACCAACAAGACAUAAGUACUCGUCUUUUACUUAGUGGAUGCAAGUCCAUGCAAUGCACUAUACGUUCUUAUAAUCCUUUGGUCCGGAAAACGGAUCGGAGAGAGGAAGUAAGCGCAUCAGUUCGGCCUAGAACCGGUAGAUCCUCGCGGAUCCGCCGAUUCCUUGCCGAGCCGCCUCCCCGUCUCAACCAAACCGUUACUCCUCACAAAGUAUGCACGAUAUGAAUAUGCUCAUGAAUGACUAGGCCGAUCAACGAACUAAUCAAACAACCCACAAUAUUCUAGCCCUUAUACCAUCCGCACGUCCGGAGAUCGUAAUCUCCGAGGCAUUACCACGGCUUUACACCCACCUUGACUACACGGAUUCGAUCGGUGAAUGAUCCGUGUUGCCUCUCUCGAUCGCCGAUAGAACGCUCGGCUCCGCAAACUCUCCUUUUAACCGUAUUCCUCUCGGCAAAUGCCUUAGAGUUUCCUCUGGAUUUUAGGUGUUUGCGCGUGUCGUGAAAAUGAAGGAAUCGCCUUCUAUUUAUAGUUUUUACGAUUAAAACCGUUUUUCCCCAUAGGUGCCCGUUCGGUGGAACACGCUUGUUCGCAUAGGUUCGUUGAAAUCGCUCAUUCAUGCAUCUUUGACCAACCGUUCGUUCGCGUCUAUUCGGCCGUUAUAUGUAACCGUCAACCCAACCGCCUUACUACCUUCCCACCCGACCAGCUGACCUAGCUAGACUGUCACUCAACCAGCUGACCUUCACUCCGUCCAGCUUAGGUGAGCUACCGAGCAGCUGGUCCAGCUAGUCGAGCUGGUUAGCUUCAACACUUCCAGCUCGUUUCAGCUUGUCACGCACUUUGGAAGCCACUCUAUCCGCUUCCUUUGGACUUAGCCCGAGAUUCCGCUUUUCCCUCGAACCAAGUCUUCCCCGGCGAUCCUAUUGAGGAUCGCGGGUGUUACAGGAAGCCAUGUGAUGGUCGGAGAUGCGGAGGGUGAAGUUUAAGAUAUCGCAGUCUAGGGUUUGAGAGUGGUUUGGUCGGAGAUGUCGAGGAUGAAGGGUGAGAAUAGGGUUUUUUUUUCUUAAGUGUCGAGGAUGAAGAGUAAUAGAGAGUGGGCUUUUCAUUUAACUGAGAAUAUUUGGUGUGUAUAGGGUAGGAUCGACUUUGUUUCAACCUAAUAAUUAAGUGUAUUGGUCGCUCUUUAGUCGCAAACUAGUGACAAACCAAAAAAAAUGGGGGGAAUCGAAACCGCCCAAACACUUAGCCAAAAUCAUAGAAAUUUCACAAAUCGUAGCUAAAUGGUCGCUAUAUUGGUCGGUAAAUAGUCAGAAGAUACGUCCCAAAACAGUCGCUAAAUGGACAGGGGUCCCAAACUAGUCCCAAUUUAGCGAGUCAUUUGUGACUGUUUUAUAUUAGUCACAAGACAAAAUUUAGAAAUCUUCACAUUGUGAUAAAAAAUGGUGAUAUAUAUCACCCACAAACACUCAUAUUAGUGGUAUAGAGGAUAUAAAAGUGUUUUAGGUAGAAAAACUUUGCUAAACUCAAGUAAUAUAGAUAUUUUACUAAAUCCCUAAACAUUAAUCAUAUGAGUAAUGUAAAAGUAUAAAUAGAUUUGGUACUUGUGAAUGUUUUGUUAGUAAACAUCAAAAUUUAUGAUCUUGGUUGAGUUCUUAUUACUAAGUUCGACCAAACACUUAGCAAAAAUCUUAGAAAUUUCACAAUUAGUAUCAAAAUAGUCGCAACAUUGGUCGGCAAAUAGUUACAAUAUUUGUCGCAAAAUAGUCGCUAAAUGAACAAUAGUUAGAAAAUGGUGGCACUUUUGCGACUGUUAUCUAUUAGUCACAAGACAAAAUUUAGAAAUCUACACAUUGUGAUCCAAAAGGGUGAUAUAUAUCACUCACAAACACUCAUAUUAGUGUUAUAGAGGACAUAUAUUAGUUUAAGGUUGAAAAACUUUGCAAAACCCAAGUAAUAUAGAUAUUUUACUAAAUCUCUAAACAUUACUCAUAAGAGUAAUGUAACAAGACAAAGAGAUUUGGUAGUUUUGAAUGUUUUGUUUGUAAACAUCAAUAUAUAUGACUUUGGUUUUGUUUUUAUUACUAAGUAACAUCAAACUAGUGUAGAAUUGUUUAACUUUAUAUGUAAACAAAUUUAAAAUGUGAAAUUUGUAAAACCAAAAAUCGAUAGUUGGUAAAUAGUCGCAAGCCGGUCGCUUUCUCAGGUGUCAGUCGCAAAAUCUUCAGGUGCUAGUCGCAAACCGGUCGCUUUCUCUGCAUUUCAACGUGUUUUGAGGCAACUCUUUCUAACUAAUUUGCAACUAAAGUGUAACUAUAACAGGUGGUUGUUAACUAGUCGCUCUUUUGAGACUCAAUUGCGACGAGCAUUUGAGACCAAAAGUUGAGUCGCACAUCAGUCGCAUAUCAGCCACCCAUUUGCGACUAUAAUAAAUUAGUAUGUAAUUGGUUUUAAAAUCGUCGCAAAUUAACGACUAAGUAAAGACUAUUUGUUUUAGUCGCAGAAUAACGACUAUAUUCCAUCUGUAAAUAUUGUGGUCGCUAAAUGGUCGUUAAGAAGUCACAAAAUAGUCGCAAAUAUUUGCGACUAAUAAUUCGGUCGCAAAGUUUAGUUGCAAAACGCAGGUUUUCUUGUAGAGCUUAAAAGAGAGAAAGAGGAUGGAGAAGAUAGAAAUUAGGUUUUGAUUUUUAAUUUGAGCUUAUUCUUAUUUUUUGGCUAAGUGUUGGCGGUCUGGGCAAAUGUUUCGUUAAAUAUUGGUGGUCCUAAGUGAUUUUAGUUUCGGCUAUGUUAUUAUAGGGUUUAGCGUUUCUGAAAUGCUAUAAUAUUGUUACCAAAAUUCAAGUAUCAUCUUUAAUAUCAGUUACUAAAAAUACGCGAUCGUAAUGUGCUAUCAAUACUCAUAUUUUUUUAGUACUACGUUUUUAGCAUAUUUCAUUUCAUUUUCCUUGGUUAAAAUUUCUUGUUUUAUAUUCAUCAUAAAGGGACUAAUACAUAAGAUAAAAGAACAGAGGUUGCAUACAUUCCCUUGGGCUAAACAGAUCAAAUUUAAAAUAUUGAGUACCUUGGAACCAUAAACCCAAAGUAUUAGUGGAACGCGGGAUUUGACGUCUCGCGUAACAAGUGUCAUGAACACGCAGGUCAAUCGUUUUGAACAGUUGUUGAACACGCCCGUAGACUCUUGUUGUUGAACAUCCUCUCUCGCCCAAUUGCUACUUGAUGGAGAGUGAUGACGGAUUUGUUUUGUCCCUGAGAACGGAGACAUAAAAGGAAGUUUUCCCAGCUUGAGAACCCCAUAAAGUGAAAACCGAGCCCUUGACCUUCUUAUGUAUGUCGAAAAUAAACAAAUAUUUAUUCCCGUGACCUUCUUAAAUAGAUACACCAAAGAGAAGAAAACAAACUUAAAGAUCUUCGUGCGAUUAUAGAUUCGACAUUGUGUUCUAUCGUGGUUUCAUUCUUGUUCGUGAGCGUGAUAUUCGUGCAGGUGUUUUGAAGAAAGUUAGGCUUCGGGAAUUAACUUACCCUUAUUUUUAUCUUCAAGAGUUCAUGUAAUACAAAAGAAUGGUAGACUAAAAGAACGGUUCUUCAUUUAAAAUAAUAGGAAUGCGUCGUAAUUGCUUUUCGUUUGAGUGUUUGAAUCUAUACCAGAAUUAGGUCAAUGAGUAGGUAGGAAAACAAAACCUCCUUAAGUUAAAAAACUUGAGGAUUUGAAAUUGUAAUGAAUUAAAAUAAUCCAUGCAAUUUAGGUAUGCAAUUCAUAUACAAGACUCAUGUAAGGUCAAUGAUACGAACUACAAAAUUUAAUUUUGCAAAGGACUUCAUAUAGAUUGCAAGCAACCUUUACAUAAAGAAAAGAAAAAGCAUAAAACCAUGAGAACAUUUUGUAGCAAAAUGUUUAAUCCAAUAGCAAGAAAAUUAAAAUUUAUUAGAUAUGAAUAGCAUCAAGAACAAAAGCAAAUAUGAAAUGAAAUAAAACUCGGCAGCUUAUAUAAGAAUCUCAUUACAAUUUCGGGCAAUACGAAGGUGGAGAUGAAGCUUAGUACUCAGUUUUUGGAGAAGGUGAGUACGAUGGUGGUGGUGGAGAACUGUAGACAUAUGGUGGUGGAGGAGAUUUGUAGUCUACCUUAGGUGAAGGUGAGUAGUAUGGUGGUGGUGGUGAGCUGUAGACAUAUGGUGGUGGAGGUGAUUUGUAGUCAACCUUAGGGGAAGGUGAGUAGUAUGGUGGAGGAGGUGAACUGUAAACGUAUGGUGGUGGAGGUGAUUUGUAAUCAACCUUAGGGGAAGGUGAGUAGUAUGGUGGAGGAGGAGAACUGUAGACGUACGGUGGUGGUGGUGAUUUGUAGUCAAUCUUAGGAGAAGGUGAGUAGUAUGGUGGAGGAGGUGAACUGUAGACGUACGGUGGUGGAGGAGAUUUGUACUCUACCUUAGGGGCAGGUGAGUAGUAUGGUGGUGGUGGUGAACUGUAGACGUACGGUGGUGGAGGAGAUUUGUACUCUACCUUAGGCGCAGGUGAGUAGUAUGG